RNAcentral lists this unclassified non-coding RNA (362 nucleotides) under Hevea brasiliensis (rubber tree). The record is from RNAcentral. Lineage: Eukaryota; Viridiplantae; Streptophyta; Magnoliopsida; Malpighiales; Euphorbiaceae.
GGAUUUGAAGAUGUUGAGCUUGCUAAUACACAUCAAAUCCUAUCAAUAAAUCUUUAUCAAGCAAAGUUGAUCCACUGACUUUUUGUCCAUAUGAUACAGUUUGGAAAGAACUGUAUUUCAAUGGGCUCUUUGGUAAUGAGGUUGGUGCGAAAUACUUUCCCAUCUGCGGCUUUAAAAUAUUCUGAAUAAGACAUCCAUGCUUCAUCAGGCAAUACUGAAGGAUUCAUCAUGUUUUUAUGGGCAUCAAUAUCAAGAAAACCAAUGAUAGGAAUUGGUCUUUCAUAUUUGGAAGGUAGGACAUGAAUGUGCACCAACGGAAUUGAGAUCAGGAGCUAUAUUGGAUGGCAUGACUGAAGAGUAUU